GAUGAACGCUGGCGGCGUGCCUAAUACAUGCAAGUCGAGCGAACAGACGAGGAGCUUGCUCCUCUGACGUUAGCGGCGGACGGGUGAGUAACACGUGGAUAACCUACCUAUAUGACUUGGAUAACUGCGGGCAACCGGUGCUAAUACCGGAUAAUAUCUUGAACCGCAUGGUUCAAUAGUGAAAGACGGUUUUGCUGUCACUUAUAGAUGGGUCCGCGCCGCAUUAGCUAGUUGGUAAGGUAACGGCUUACCAAGGCAACGAUGGGUAGCGGACCUGAGAGGGGGAUCGGCAAAAUGGGAAUGGAGACACGGUCAGGACUCCUACGGGAGGAGGAAGUGGGGAACUUGCGGAAAUGGGGGAAAGCCUGACGGAGCAACGCCGGGUGAGUGAUGAAGGUCUUCGGAUCGAAAAACUCGGCUAUUAGGGAAGACCAAAUGUGUAAGUAACUAUGCGCGUCUUGACGGUACCUAAAAAGAAAGCAACGGCUAACUACGUG
This 497-nucleotide ribosomal RNA is filed under the name uncultured bacterium. RNAcentral's name for it is "partial 16S ribosomal RNA". It matches the Rfam family "Bacterial small subunit ribosomal RNA", at positions 28 to 507 of the family's 1533-position model. The record is from RNAcentral.